Long non-coding RNA from Carassius carassius (crucian carp), 559 nucleotides. RefSeq lists it as uncharacterized. Lineage: Eukaryota; Metazoa; Chordata; Actinopteri; Cypriniformes; Cyprinidae. The record is from RefSeq and is a predicted model, not a curated record. The transcript is spliced from 2 exons.
UCUUACUCUUUUAAUCUUUCUACCUAUCGCUACUGUAGUCUCGCUGGUUUGCUGUGAACUAUGGAAACAAGUCCAAACAAAAUCUUUCAUGUGACUGGAUACAAUGUUUUUUAAUACCAUGGUACCUGAAAAUGCCAUCAUUCACAAAGUUUUUUUUUUAAAGCUCUAGGCCAUGUUUAUAAAUUCCAUCCCAAAAUCAGCACAGAAAAUAUAAAAUGAAGUCUUAAGUUUCUUAGUGGGCCUGUUCAUGACACAUUUGCAGAGAUGUAAAGUGUUUCUGUCUGGUGAACACACAUAUGACGUAUGAUUAAAUGUACAGGGCAAAGUGAGGUUUAAAGGAGUAAAAACUUUGUCAGUGCCAAGAUUGGUUCAUAGAAAAGAAGGACCCUGACGAGCUGCCUAAGAUUUAGCAAAUUGCUUUAUCUUGUUUUAUUUUUGUCUUCCCAGUUCCCACAUUUCAGGCCGUUUAACUGGGCACUGCAGACUCUUGUAACACAAACAAUCCAAUUAAACACACCAUGUAUUCUCAGAAGAAUCUAUUAAACACUUACAACUGUGA